ACCACUGGACCACCAGGGAAAGCCCUCUUGCUUAGCUUUUGAUCCCUGCCCUUUCCUUGAAAGCACAUACUCAAGAAUCCCUAUUUCCGCAUCUAGGGAACAUGACAUAAGUCAAGAGGAUCAAGUGAAAAGUAAGCUUCCUUCCUGCAUCUCUCCUGCAGGCAUCCAGUUCACUCAUAAGAGUAAACCUGCUAUAUGGAGUGUUUGGGGGUAAAAAAGGAGACCUUUGUGAACACUCGAGGUAGUGGAGAGCUGCAACUGCCAGGAACAAUCACAAUACAAGCAGUGGUGACCAGCAGAGAAAGACCUGACUUUGGUACUGAGGACUGAGACCUUACGGCGCCAUUCAAUAGAGAAAUUGGGUUCAAGUGUAGGUUAAUUCAGGAAUAGACUUGACAUACCUUCUCCUGGAAUAUACUGGAUAACACAAAACAUUGAAAAGAGAAGCUACAGCCUGCUAACCCACGGGUUGGGACAAUCUAUCCAGCAGAUAUUUAUUUCAUGUCAUUGUAAAUAAUAAAAGCUCAUUGUUUUAUUGAGUACUUGCUAUUUGCCAUCCACUGGCACUGGGCUGAUGAAUAUAUACAUUAAAUGAAUUGUGGUUCA
This is a long non-coding RNA of Bubalus bubalis (water buffalo), 606 nucleotides long. RefSeq lists it as uncharacterized. The transcript has 2 exons. NCBI's taxonomy places the organism in Eukaryota, Metazoa, Chordata, Mammalia, Artiodactyla, Bovidae. The record is from RefSeq and is a predicted model, not a curated record.